RNAcentral lists this ribosomal RNA (517 nucleotides) under uncultured fungus. Its description in RNAcentral is "SSU rRNA". It matches the Rfam family "Eukaryotic small subunit ribosomal RNA", at positions 214 to 731 of the family's 1831-position model. The record is from RNAcentral. Lineage: Eukaryota; Fungi.
AUAAAAAACCAACGCCCUUCGGGGCUCCUUGGUGAAUCAUAAUAACUUAACGAAUCGCAUGGCCUUGCGCCGGCGAUGGUUCAUUCAAAUUUCUGCCCUAUCAACUUUCGAUGGUAGGAUAGUGGCCUACCAUGGUGGCAACGGGUAACGGGGAAUUAGGGUUCGAUCCCGGAGAGGGAGCCUGAGAAACGGCUACCACAUCCAAGGAAGGCAGCAGGCGCGCAAAUUACCCAAUCCCGAUACGGGGAGGUAGUGACAAUAAAUACUGAUACGGGGCUCUUUUGGGUCUCGUAAUUGGAAUGAGAACAAUUUAAAUCCCUUAACGAGGAACAAUUGGAGGGCAAGUCUGGUGCCAGCAGCCGCGGUAAUUCCAGCUCCAAUAGCGUAUAUUAAAGUUGUUGCAGUUAAAAAGCUCGUAGUUGAACCUUGGGUCUGGCUGGCCGGUCCGCCUCACCGCGAGUACUGGUCCGGCUGGACCUUUCCUUCUGGGGAACCCCAUGGCCUUCACUGGCUGUGG